AGUCUUAUAGUCAAUAAUGAUAUGAAAUUGCAAAUUUUAAGUAAUAUAUAAUAUAUAUAUUAAGACUU
RNAcentral lists this transfer RNA (68 nucleotides) under Graphium sarpedon. RNAcentral's name for it is "tRNA-Cys". The record is from RNAcentral. Lineage: Eukaryota; Metazoa; Arthropoda; Insecta; Lepidoptera; Papilionidae.